RNAcentral lists this ribosomal RNA (506 nucleotides) under Escherichia coli. RNAcentral describes it as "bacterial SSU rRNA". It matches the Rfam family "Bacterial small subunit ribosomal RNA", at positions 72 to 571 of the family's 1533-position model. Lineage: Bacteria; Pseudomonadati; Pseudomonadota; Gammaproteobacteria; Enterobacterales; Enterobacteriaceae. The record is from RNAcentral.
GAAGCAGCUUGCUGCUUUGCUGACGAGUGGCGGACGGGUGAGUAAUGUCUGGGAAACUGCCUGAUGGAGGGGGAUAACUACUGGAAACGGUAGCUAAUACCGCAUAACGUCGCAAGACCAAAGAGGGGGACCUUCGGGCCUCUUGCCAUCGGAUGUGCCCAGAUGGGAUUAGCUUGUUGGUGGGGUAACGGCUCACCAAGGCGACGAUCCCUAGCUGGUCUGAGAGGAUGACCAGCCACACUGGAACUGAGACACGGUCCAGACUCCUACGGGAGGCAGCAGUGGGGAAUAUUGCACAAUGGGCGCAAGCCUGAUGCAGCCAUGCCGCGUGUAUGAAGAAGGCCUUCGGGUUGUAAAGUACUUUCAGCGGGGAGGAAGGGAGUAAAGUUAAUACCUUUGCUCAUUGACGUUACCCGCAGAAGAAGCACCGGCUAACUCCGUGCCAGCAGCCGCGGUAAUACGGAGGGUGCAAGCGUUAAUCGGAAUUACUGGGCGUAAAGCGCACG